Molecule: long non-coding RNA, 367 nt
Organism: Ostrinia nubilalis (European corn borer)
Lineage: Eukaryota; Metazoa; Arthropoda; Insecta; Lepidoptera; Crambidae
Exons: 3
Source: RefSeq, a predicted model, not a curated record
ACAUUUUUGUGAAACGUCAAAUCAAAUGAAAGUCAUUUUUCUUGCGAAUUACGGAUUAUUUUUCAUAGGAUUAAGUUCAUUUUAUCGUGAUUAAUAUUACAUAGAAUCGACAAUAUCUAGUCAAUUAACUGCCGGGACACCAAUCACAACUUUUGGGACGCAGAUACAUGAACUAGGCUUCCCGAUGAUGUCUCUAAAGCCAAGGAACGUGGACUUCCAGGAGACGUGGGCCAACCUCAAAGAAACGGUGGCAGGCGUGGUGGGAUUGCGAGCAGUCGAGCGAGCCGUAUGGAACACUCGCUUCUCGGAUGUCUACGCGUUGUGUGUGGCGCAUCCAGAGCCGCUAGCCGACCGCCUGUACGACGAG